RNAcentral lists this ribosomal RNA (1507 nucleotides) under uncultured marine bacterium. RNAcentral describes it as "16S ribosomal RNA". It matches the Rfam family "Bacterial small subunit ribosomal RNA". The record is from RNAcentral.
AUUGAACGCUGGCGGCAGGCCUAAGACAUGCAAGUCGAGCGAGAAAGCCCUUCGGGGUGAGUACAGCGGCGGACGGGUGAGUAACGCGUAGGAAUCUACCCAGUAGUGGGGGACAACUAGUGGAAACGCUAGCUAAUACCGCAUACGCCCUAAGGGGGAAAGCGGGGGAUCUUCGGACCUCGUGCUAUUGGAUGAGCCUGCGUAAGAUUAGCUUGUUGGUGAGGUAAUGGCUCACCAAGGCGACGAUCUUUAGCUGGUCUGAGAGGAUGAUCAGCCACACCGGGACUGAGACACGGCCCGGACUCCUACGGGAGGCAGCAGUCGGGAAUAUUGCGCAAUGGGGGAAACCCUGACGCAGCCAUGCCGCGUGUGUGAAGAAGGCCCUAGGGUUGUAAAGCACUUUCAAUUGGGAGGAAAAGCUAAUGGCUAAUAGCCAUUAGCCCUGACGUUACCUUUAGAAGAAGCACCGGCUAACUCCGUGCCAGCAGCCGCGGUAAUACGGAGGGUGCAAGCGUUAAUCGGAAUUACUGGGCGUAAAGCGCGCGUAGGCGGCUCUUUAAGUCGGAUGUGAAAGCCCCGGGCUCAACCUGGGAACUGCAUCCGAUACUGGAGGGCUAGAGUGUAGGAGAGGGAGGUAGAAUUCCAUGUGUAGCAGUGAAAUGCGUAGAUAUAUGGAGGAAUACCAGUGGCGAAGGCGGCCUCCUGGCUUAACACUGACGCUGAGGUGCGAAAGCGUGGGGAGCAAACGGGAUUAGAUACCCCGGUAGUCCACGCCGUAAACGAUGUCUACUAGCUGUAGGGGUACUUGAGACCUUUGUAGCGCAGCUAACGCACUAAGUAGACCGCCUGGGGAGUACGGCCGCAAGGUUAAAACUCAAAUGAAUUGACGGGGGCCCGCACAAGCAGUGGAGCAUGUGGUUUAAUUCGAUGCAACGCGAAGAACCUUACCAGGCCUUGACAUCCCCGGAACUUUCUAGAGAUAGAUUGGUGCCUUCGGGAACCGGGUGACAGGUGCUGCAUGGCUGUCGUCAGCUCGUGUCGUGAGAUGUUGGGUUAAGUCCCGUAACGAGCGCAACCCUUGUCCUUAGUUGCCAGCACAUAAUGGUGGGAACUCUAAGGAGACUGCCGGUGACAAACCGGAGGAAGGUGGGGACGACGUCAAGUCAUCAUGGCCCUUACGGCCUGGGCUACACACGUGCUACAAUGGCUAGGACAGACGGCUGCAAACCAGCGAUGGGGAGCUAAUCCGACAAACCUAGUCGUAGUCCGGAUUGGAGUCUGCAACUCGACUCCAUGAAGUCGGAAUUGCUAGUAAUCGCGAAUCAGAAUGUCGCGGUGAAUACGUUCCCGGGCCUUGUACACACCGCCCGUCACACCAUGGGAGUGGGUUGCUCCAGAAGUGGUUAGUCUAACCUUCGGGAGGACGAUCACCACGGAGUGAUUCAUGACUGGGGUGAAGUCGUAACAAGGUAGCCCUAGGGGAACCUGGGGCUGGAUCACCUCCUUA